UAGGGAAUCUUCGGCAAUGGGGGGAACCCUGACCGAGCAACGCCGCGUGAGUGAAGAAGGUUUUCGGAUCGUAAAGCUCUGUUGUUAAGGAAGAACGAGUGUGAGAAUGGAAAGUUCAUACUGUGACGGUACUUAACCAGAAAGGGACGGCUAACUACGUGCCAGCAGCCGCGGUAAUACGUAGGUCCCGAGCGUUGUCCGGAUUUAUUGGGCGUAAAGCGAGCGCAGGCGGUUAGAUAAGUCUGAAGUUAAAGGCAGUGGCUCAACCAUUGUAGGCUUUGGAAACUGUUUAACUUGAGUGCAGAAGGGGAGAGUGGAAUUCCAUGUGUAGCGGUGAAAUGCGUAGAUAUAUGGAGGAACACCGGUGGCGAAAGCGGCUCUCUGGUCUGUAACUGACGCUGAGGCUCGAAAGCGCGGGGAGCGAACAGG
Molecule: ribosomal RNA, 429 nt
Filed under: Bacteroidota bacterium
Lineage: Bacteria; Pseudomonadati; Bacteroidota
Description: Bacteroidetes bacterium partial 16S ribosomal RNA
Rfam family: Bacterial small subunit ribosomal RNA
Source: RNAcentral